This 429-nucleotide ribosomal RNA is filed under the name Verrucomicrobiota bacterium. RNAcentral's name for it is "Verrucomicrobia bacterium partial 16S ribosomal RNA". It matches the Rfam family "Bacterial small subunit ribosomal RNA", at positions 355 to 776 of the family's 1533-position model. The record is from RNAcentral. Lineage: Bacteria; Pseudomonadati; Verrucomicrobiota.
UAGGGAAUCUUCCGCAAUGGACGAAAGUCUGACGGAGCAACGCCGCGUGAGUGAAGAAGGAUUUCGGUUCGUAAAACUCUGUUGUUAGGGAAGAAAAAAUGUAUAGUAACUAUAUACAAAAGAGACGGUACCUAACCAGAAAGCCACGGCUAACUACGUGCCAGCAGCCGCGGUAAUACGUAGGUGGCAAGCGUUGUCCGAAAUUAUUGGGCGUAAAGCGCGCGCAGGUGGUUUAGAAAGUCUGAUGUGAAAGCCCACGGCUCAACCGUGGAGGGUCAUUGGAAACUAAUAAACUUGAGUGCAGGAGAGAAAAGUGGAAUUCCUAGUGUAGCGAUGAAAUGCGUAGAGAUUAGGAGGAACACCGGUGGCGAAAGCGGCUAUCUGGACAGUAACUGACGCUGAGGCGCGAAAGCGUGGGUAGCAAACAGG